Octopus sinensis (East Asian common octopus) is the source of this 146-nucleotide long non-coding RNA. RefSeq lists it as uncharacterized. The transcript has 3 exons. NCBI's taxonomy places the organism in Eukaryota, Metazoa, Mollusca, Cephalopoda, Octopoda, Octopodidae. The record is from RefSeq and is a predicted model, not a curated record.
UGUGUGUGUGUGUGUGUGAUGUGUUGUGUGUGUGAUGUUAAUCAUUUGAAAGUUCACUCUUGUGCUUCCCACUGACUCCAAUUACACCAGAUUUUACAGAACAGAAGGUGAGUGAGCCUUUAGAUAACCAACUAAUUUACUGUUAA